This 253-nucleotide ribosomal RNA is filed under the name uncultured bacterium. RNAcentral describes it as "partial 16S ribosomal RNA". It matches the Rfam family "Bacterial small subunit ribosomal RNA", at positions 524 to 776 of the family's 1533-position model. The record is from RNAcentral.
UACGAAGGGGGCUAGCGUUGUUCGGAUUUACUGGGCGUAAAGCGCACGUAGGCGGAUCGUUAAGUCGGGGGUGAAAUCCUGGAGCUCAACUCCAGAACUGCCUUCGAUACUGGCGAUCUAGAGUCCGGAAGAGGUGAGUGGAACUCCUAGUGUAGAGGUGGAAUUCGUAGAUAUUCGCAAGAACACCGGUGGCGAAGGCGGCCAACUGGACCAUUACUGACGCUGAGGCGCGAAAGCGUGGGGAGCAAACAGG